Molecule: long non-coding RNA, 390 nt
Organism: Populus euphratica (Euphrates poplar)
Lineage: Eukaryota; Viridiplantae; Streptophyta; Magnoliopsida; Malpighiales; Salicaceae
Exons: 2
Source: RefSeq, a predicted model, not a curated record
AAAUAAAUGAGCAAAUCUAUGAUAUCUACAGAUAUCUCCAGCCAUUCUAAUUGAAGAGAGGAUAGAGUUGGUGAGAUUGAUUAAGAUAAAGUUAAGCUUGUUUAGCUUAUGUCUAGCCGUGGAUCUCUGUGGUGGAUUUCAUUCAGUGGUGAGAUAUAACCUCUAAUUUAUAAAGCGGUGAUCUUUCUGUAUCUGUUAGAAUGUUGAUAAUUUUGCUAUUGUGUAUGUCUACGGUAUUUUACUGUAGAAAUAUACUGAUAUACUGCAGAAUUAUUGCUGAAGGAAAUCUGCAGAAAUGUCAGUAGAGGUCCCUAAAUUUAAGGGAUAUGUUACAAGCUUUGAAUGUAUCAGAUGAAGACUUUCUAAUACAAUUUGUGCCUGUAGAUAUAA